AGCAGCGUGGCCUAGUGAAAAGGGCAUGGGACUGGGAAUCAAAAGGACCUGGAUUUUAAUCCCGGCUCUGCUA
Molecule: transfer RNA, 73 nt
Filed under: Ornithorhynchus anatinus (platypus)
Lineage: Eukaryota; Metazoa; Chordata; Mammalia; Monotremata; Ornithorhynchidae
Rfam family: tRNA
About the family: Transfer RNA (tRNA) molecules are approximately 80 nucleotides in length.
Source: Rfam by way of RNAcentral